Molecule: ribosomal RNA, 253 nt
Filed under: uncultured bacterium
Lineage: Bacteria
Description: partial 16S ribosomal RNA
Rfam family: Bacterial small subunit ribosomal RNA
Source: RNAcentral
UACGUAGGGGGCAAGCGUUAUCCGGAUUUACUGGGUGUAAAGGGGGCAUAGGCGGCUGUGUAAGCCAGAAGUGAAAGCCCGAGGCUCAACCACGGGACUGCUUUUGGAACUACAUGGCUUGAUUGCAGGAGAGGCAAGUGGAAUUCCUAGUGUAGCGGUGAAAUGCGUAGAUAUUAGGAGGAACACCAGUGGCGAAGGCGGCUUGCUGGACUGUAAAUGACGCUGAGGCUCGAAAGCGUGGGGAGCAAACAGG